Taeniopygia guttata (zebra finch) is the source of this 3141-nucleotide long non-coding RNA. NCBI's taxonomy places the organism in Eukaryota, Metazoa, Chordata, Aves, Passeriformes, Estrildidae. The record is from Ensembl.
CUAGGCACUGCAUUUAAUAUGGCAUAUUUAUUAUGUCUAUUAUUAUUGUAAUCUGGACUUCUUCAGCUUUGGUUACAUGAAUAAUACAGCAUCAAAAAAGAAGUUUUUUAAGAGGUGCUUUUAUAUAUAGAUAGAUAAAGAUAGCUUGCUCUGAUUCAUCUGCUAAAAAUUGCUGCUGCUCCUUGUUUGUUUGUUUUGUUCAAGCAGAAAUCGCUGGGCAAGAUGAAUGCCAGGAAUGGGAAUACAGGAUAAGCCUAAAUUUCACAACUUCUUGUCAUGCUGGAAGGUUGCUGUCAAAACUUUGGUGCAGGUCUGGAAUUUGCUUAGAAACGAAGUCGCUGCUCCGGGGUGAGUGCAGCAGCCGAGCACAGCCAGGCAGGGAGGCAGGGAAGAGCAUCUGGCCCAUCCAGGGAUGAGUGAAGGUCAGCUUGCCUCCUCCAGGGGAAGGCUGCAGGGACUGGAGCAGGAGCUGUGCAGCCCCCACAAGCCAGAAUCUGGAGAGGAAUGUCCCCCUGCACAGCUGAAAUUUGGGUGGUUUGAAGGAGCCCUGUGAUGAGUGUUUUACCUUGUGCCAUAUGAGGGUGUCAAUCGUUGUGCCUGUUCUUCUGACCAGGUGCAGAGGUUUCUCUGGUGGGGAUCAGGGUUUGGAGUGGGCAGCCAGAACAGAAAAGAGACACCAAAAAUCCUUCAGGCUGUAAAAAUGACCCUUGGGCAGGCAAAUGUCUCACUCUGAAGUAUAGGUGGAGGUAUUGCUGCUGGAGCUGCACCUCCUGACUACAUUUUUGGCCAACUUCUGCAUAGCUCUGAGGCAGGGAGAGACACAAAGCCUUCCCAAGCCACAGCACAGUGCACAGCAAUGAGCUCCAGCUCUGCUCUCCAUCCCUGCAGCUCUGUUUGCACCUGACAGGUGUUGCCACAUCCACAGCCUGUGGUCUCCUGGUCCCUCACAUGUCACAACAGAGGACAAGCAGCCAGCAGUGGAGCUGGGAGCAGCAUCAGAUCUCCAGAUCUGGUGUAGAUCUGGGCUUCACCUUCUGUAGAGAUCUUGGGAUCUGGUCCCAGUCACAGACAGGAAUCCAGACUGGCUGCUCUGGGCAUUGCUGGUGAUGUGUCAGAGUGGUUGUUCAGCUCUGCACGGACACAGCCAUUAUCAAAGUCGUGUCCCAGUAGUCAGUUGGAUCCUACCUUGGUGGAAAUAAAACCAGUGCUUUGACUGUAGCUUCACAGAGGGUAAGCCAUAAAUUAAAAAUACUAAGGAAAUGGCUGUAACAAACACUUGACAUCCAUCAUAAGGGACAAGAUAUGUCUUAACCCACUAAAACAUUAUUUGGUUUUUUUCCUCAAGGGCCAAAACACCGCUCUUCUGCAUGAGAUAUAUGUGUCAUUGGAUAUGUGUGUAUCCCUAAAUUUAAUUUGUCCAAUUGCAUUAGGACAAGCAGCUAAUUCCAAAAUUCAUUUUGUUCCCAUAAUCAACCCUUCUGCCAAAUGGCAUUUGGGUGGAAUUGUGGAGAUUGUGAUUUUUAUUUAAAGUGAUUUAUUGAAAUCAUUAGCAAUGUUCCCUAAGUGGAAUCCAUGGCAAUCCUUUUAAUCUUCCCCCCAUCACAGUAAAUGCAAACAUUUUUUUUUAAUAAUAGAGAGAUUGAAAUAUUAGGUUAUUAAAAUCCACACUUGUGUAUCUCUCCAUGCUCUCUCCCUCUGUAAUGGGUUGGAAACCAUAACUGUGGAAAUAAAGGCUCCCUUUCAGGCCGGAGAUGCAGAGAGUGUGUAAUGAACAGUUAAGCAUCUAUUUAGUCACUUUGCAUUGAUAAGGGUGUUAAUGAAAAUGGAAAGAGCCAACUUUAUUUCCGCUGCAGGGAAAUACAGAUGUUGGGGGAGUAUUUUUUUGGUAUUGCCCUAAGCCCUUUUAAUGGAGUCAGUGUCUGCAGCAGAACUCAGAGCUUCCCCAAGUGCUCUUCCAGCCUCUUCCCACAAGUACUCAAUGGAGGCCUAGGAAACUGAGGGGGUUUGCCCUGUGUCCCACUGGAGCAAGGUCUGGGCUGUUGUCACCAGCUGUCCCCAGGCACACAGAGAGCUGCCCCUGUUGCCUUCAGCUCUAACUAAUCUCCCCAGGUACACACACCUUUGCAAACCCUUUGCCUCUAAUCACUCAGCUCCAUCCCCUCCUGGAAUGGAGGGGUACAACACCGUGGGAGCCUGCCUGGGACAGUCACAGCCAAAGCCAGGCACAGGGCUGGGUCAGCCUGGACCAGAUGCGCUCCUGUUCCCUCUGGUUGAUGCGCUGGUGCCAUGGCAACUGCUAACACCAAACAGCUGUGGGGAAAGGACAGCUUUGGAGCAGCUUUGGCGCCCAGUGACCACUGGCCAUGUCCUGGGGGUUGUUCUUUCCUCCUAAGAACCCCAGGCAAAGGAUGUGCCUCUGAGCAGAGCAAAGCCAGACUGCACUGUGCCACCCCAGCGCAGAGCCCAAAACUCACUUCACAUUGAAAAGUUCCUAUAAAAAAUAAUACUGCCCUAUUUUCCAUCUUGGAAGGAUAAAAUCUGGUGUGGGAGGACCGAGAAUCUGACAGAGGAGCCAUUUGCCCUUAGCUCCUGACUCCUGUCCUGGCCCUCAAAGCAUCUCUUCAUGCUCUGGAGGCAGAGCAGCAGCUCCAGCCCUGGACAUCAAGAUGCUGGGGCAGGGGACAUCAGGACCUAUCCCAUUGCAGGAUAUGUAUCCAUGCAGCUGCACAGAUAUUCUUCUCUAACCAGUCACAGCUCUGUCACUUGUGAGAAGAAAUUUUAGGAUGCUGUUUAAUGGUCCUGGGCACCAGAAGUGACUGUGACAUGGUCCAUGCACAUUCCAGGGAGGACAGAAGAGCUUUUUCCUCCACAUUUUCUUUGCUUCUGGGCUGUCAAAUCAAUCUGUCCAUCAUCGAGCCAAACCCUGGUGAUAUCUCCUGGUACAGGAGAUGUUGCCAUUUUAUUCUAUACUCUUCCAACCCCCAGGCAGCUGGCAGGAUUGCUGCUGGCUGGUAGCACACACACACACACACACACACACACACACAUACACAGACACAGAUACACACACACAAAGUUAAUCUUUUGCUAUUAUUUCUCGGAAGCUCCAUUUGGCUGCUUUCAGGCUUAUUGUGGUGAUUU